Zea mays is the source of this 119-nucleotide non-coding RNA. The record is from Rfam. Lineage: Eukaryota; Viridiplantae; Streptophyta; Magnoliopsida; Poales; Poaceae.
GAGCAAAGGGGCCAUAUAAGUGUUGAUCUUUGCAUUGAAGGUUAAAAUCAAGCUCAACCCUGCAGUUCUUCGUUCAAAGUUGUUCUGUUCUAUGUCGGCCUCGAACAAGCUGCUGCAUC